AGCCUCUGUCAUCCCCUCAAUUGCGGAUAAAUCUUUCGCCUUUUACUAAAGAUUUCCAUGUGGGGGUGCAAUACAAUGAGUCUAUAUGGACAUUUUUGCAGCGCCUCGUUCUCGGGGCGG
This is a non-coding RNA of Schistocephalus solidus, 120 nucleotides long. The record is from Rfam. NCBI's taxonomy places the organism in Eukaryota, Metazoa, Platyhelminthes, Cestoda, Diphyllobothriidea, Diphyllobothriidae.